UUUAGAUUGUACCAACAGGCAAAGAAACACAGCAGUAAUUUCAGAAUAAUGGGAUGAUUGCAAACGCAGCUGCAGACACCCUUCUAUUAAAAGUGUGUUGCUCUGAGCAUAUUUCAGUCUCUUUGUUCAAGCCCUCCAAAAUCUCAAGAAUUGAUGAAGCAGAUUGUGAAAUUAAACCAUCCUGUCUGUCUUUAUUCCAGGCUGCAGUUGCAUGCAGAAACCACAGGCAUACAAGAUUAUAUCAACUGUAUGGGUGCAUUUCUGUUCGGCUACAGUCGGCAGUCUUGCUUUAAGACGUCUGAUGCGUCUUGCUCUCCCACUCGCGAAGCGGUAUUGUCAUACACACAAGCACGCCUGCACUCUCACACAUGCGUGUGCACACCAAUCAGUACACUGGGAAGAGGAGAGACUUGUACUGAGUGGCUUCUCAAUGGGAGAGAAGAGCUGAGAGGAGAGAGGGACGGAGAGAGUGAGCACAUGAGAGAGAGAGGGAGGGAGAGAAGUGCCGUCGCAUGUGCAAGACCAAAAAGUGAAGAGGCAAAUUAGCUUCUUAUCCUUCAAAGAAGCUUCACCUUCAGAGAGAAGCGUGAGGAGGCUGAGAAACAGGAGGAAGACGUUGCUUCUCUGGUGAUUUAAAGGUGACAUGACAAGCCUCUCGUCCCUCAAAUCCCAGCUAGUUUCUGACAGCGUUUCACAGCUGUGACGGGAGUUUCUGUUGUCGGGUGCCUGACUGUGUUCGGUGGAUUGCAUCCAGAAGGACUUACAACAAAAGAAGGGGACCAAGGGCAGGAGUGGGAACAAAAGUCUCCUCAUCCCCCCUCUGACCCGCAGAUCCAAACAGGAACUUUUGCUGGGAAGCUCUUUCCCGAGAGCAUGGAUGGAUUUAUGACUAUGUGCUAAGGAUAUUGGAUGCACAGCUGACGGCACGUUUCUUUAACGUUCUCCUCACAGUAUCUCACAGCCGGUGCUCCUGCCAUGUCCUGGAUCCUGUGUCUGUGGAUAAGUGUUAGCUGCUUACUGCUGUGCCAUGCCACUUUAUAUGAGACCAUCCAACAGCAUCAUGUGACCCGCCCGGGCCGCAACGCCAUACAGAUUCUGGAGGGAGGGACAUGUGAGGUCAUUGCAGCACACCGAUGUUGCAACAAGAACCGCAUUGAGGAGCGUUCCCAGACUGUCAAGUGCUCUUGUUUACCGGGAAAAGUGGCCGGAACAACACGGAACAAACCCUCUUGUGUAGACGCCUCCAUCGUGAUUGGGAAGUGGUGGUGUGAGAUGGAGCCGUGUCUGGAGGGAGAGGAGUGUAAGACACUACCAGACAACUCCGGCUGGAUGUGUUCCUCUGGGAACAAGAUCAAGACCACAAGGAACACCCAGCCAUAUUCAACUUUUUAGUUCUGAGGGCCACCGAAGCUGGCUCGCCAGAAGCUCAGUGGCGUCCUUCUCCUCAUCAAGAUUCAUCCCCGGACCUAACAAAGAGCUCCUUCACAGGCAGUGAAUGUGGAUUCUUACUGUCAGAACGGACGAAACCAUUCAUUCCUAGAGGUGUUUGACUGGAUUACCUGUGAAUGGACAAUAAAGAAGGACAUUCUUGGGGAUAAAGACCAGAUUUGCUCAUUCGGUGCCAAGGAAUAUGACAAAUAGAAAUGAAGCAGGCUAAUCAUGUUUUUGAUCAAUAAGCCCAACACUGCAGACUCAACCUUGUCCAAUUCUCUCGAUUUUCUGCGUUUCUCCUCAACACCUUCCUCUGCUUCUAAACUCGUUCAGCUUAGGGGAGCCGUUUACUGGAUUUCAAAUUAUAUUUGAUAUAUUUGAAAACUUUAUGUCCCUAGGUAAACUGGACAAUCCUGAUAUAAGCUGUGAAUGGCUGUAUGAAGGAUCAUGACGGAUAAGCACUGGUCUGUGAAAAUGAGGUGGAAAUCAAUAGGAGAUUUUUUUUUUUUCAUCCUGCUACCAGUUUGUUGUUCUGUGUCCACUCUGGGUUUGGUAAAAGACUAGGAGCUCAUGAGGCCCUGCUAUUUCCCUCCACUUCUGAGUUUACCGCUCACCGCUAGUGUCCACGUGCUGUCCAAUUGGGGGUCCCCCAAGUCAAAGGUCACCUCACCUUCUACACCUACUUGGACCAGAUAUCUUUUUAUUUGUCGGCAUGCUCAGUGUAUUUUGUGGGAGCUUUGUAUUGAAAGUAACUGUAUAUAUUUCUGUAUAUAUACAUAUAGAUACAUAUUAAAAUACAUCAUAUGGCGAUCUAUCAUGCCCUAAAACUGUUCAGUGGUUUUGAAUUAAGACUGUAUUCAUGAUUUUGUUUCCUUGAACUACUGGAUUAAUCCCUAAUUUAAGGCUCUGUGAAAAUACAUAUUCUCUUGAUGUAACGGAAAUCUAGCAUUUUUUGAGAAUCUGUGAAAAAACAAAAAAACAACACUGAGGAAAAUUCACUAAACAGUUGCAACACAAUAUUUCAACGCAAACAUCUUUAGCACUAAAAUAGCCCUGAGCUGUAAGUCAUUCAUUUUCAGCCCAAACAAACAAGUUUCCAGACAAAUUAGACUUAUAAUAAAUUGAGGCUUAUUCACAAAACUGCUACUACCGCUGGCGGAAAUCAGAUGGAAAAUUACUUUAUGUACAUUUUCUACAGAUCAUAACAACAGUUAUUCAACAAGUAAUGAGCAAAUAAUGGAGAAGAGCAUGUGUGGAGUGGUCGACCACACUUGGUGCUUUACGGUCCCAUUAAAAUAGUGUAUAAACUGUGUCCUCCACAACCAUAAUGCACAGAAGCAACCAGCUAAUUUGGGAAUUGUGACAUGCAGAUUUUCAGGUGCUUUUGUUCUAUUAUCUAUUGUUGCAUAAUUCUGAAUCUGGCAGUUUAACACAACAUACAAUGGAAUGAAUUGCCUCUGUCGGCAGGCGCAACUUAUUCUUAGUGAAUUUCCCAAAGAUAUCUGUAUAUUGGCCCAAUAAAAGAGGCCUCAGUCACCUACUGGAACUCAUUUUAACAUUCAUAUAUGCAGGUCUAACUCCAGUUCAAUCCAUGAUCCAGUUUGUUCUAUGCUGUUCUGAGAAUAGAGGCUUCAUUGUGCUUGUGUAGGCUUCAUAAGUACAAGACAUUGGAAAACAUUCAUUUUGUUAAAGGUGAUAACCAUGAUAACCAAACACUGAAUCUGUGUCACUGGACAGAAACCUGAAUCAGUUUGGAAAAAUGAAGCCCUAAUUUGGCAGAGUCCGUGCAGUAGGAAAGCAUUUGUUGUUUUUUUACCAUCUGAACAAUGACCAUACCGUCACAUGAAUCGUGCAGGAGAUGGCCAUUCAGAAUGCUUUUAGUUUUCUGUGUAAUCCAGUUUCUUUGGUUGGCAAAAAAGUGGGCUUCAUUUCUCUUUACUGAAAUUAGUAGACAUGCAACUACAGUAGCUUUGGUAGAUAAACAUUCAGCCUUAUCAGAAGCAAAUCAAUA
Molecule: RNA transcript, 3442 nt
Organism: Carassius auratus (goldfish)
Lineage: Eukaryota; Metazoa; Chordata; Actinopteri; Cypriniformes; Cyprinidae
Gene: tafa1b
Gene name: TAFA chemokine like family member 1b
Exons: 6
Source: RefSeq, a predicted model, not a curated record